RNAcentral lists this ribosomal RNA (405 nucleotides) under uncultured bacterium. RNAcentral's name for it is "partial 16S ribosomal RNA". It matches the Rfam family "Bacterial small subunit ribosomal RNA", at positions 28 to 526 of the family's 1533-position model. The record is from RNAcentral.
GACGAACGCUGGCGGCGUGCUUAACACAUGCAAGUCGAGCGGAGCGGCGAACGGGUGAGUAACGCGUGAGUAACUGCCCCCCUCUAUAGGAUAACAGUUGGAAACGGCUGCUAAUACCAGAUAGUGGGGGGGGACUAGCGUCCUAUCAGCGUGUUGGUGGGGGAGUGGCAUACCACGGGGACGACGGGUAGCCGGCCUGAGAGGGCGACCGGCCACAUUGGGCUGAGAUAGGGCGCAGAGUCCGACGGGAGGCAUCAGGGGGGAAUAUUGUACAAUGGGGGAAACCGUGAUGCAGAAAAGCCGUGUGCGGGAUGUAGGCCGUCGGGGUGGAAACCGCUUUCAGCCAUGACGCGGUAGUGGCAGAAGAAGCACCGGCUAACUACGUGCCAGCAGCCGCGGUAAUUC